GACGAACGCUGGCGGCGUGGAUUAGGCAUGCAAGUCGAACGGUAUCAUCCUUUCGGGGGUGAGAGAGUGGCGAACUGGUGAGUAACACGUAGGUUAUCUACCCUCAAGACGGGGACAACCCAGGGAAACUUGGGCUAAUACCGGAUGUGAGCAACUUUUAGUUGUUUGAAAGGUGGCGUAAGCUGUCGCUUGGGGAUGAGCCUGCGUCCUAUUAGUUAGUUGGUGAGGUAACGGCUCACCUAGGCAAUGAUAGGUAGGCGACCUUAACGGGUGGUCGCCCACACUGGGAUUGAGAUACGGCCCAGACUCCUACGGGAGGCAGCAGUCGAGAAUAGUCUACAAUGGUCGGAAGACUGAUAGUGCGACGCCGCGUGAACGAUGAAUCCCUUCGGGGUGUAAAGUUCUUUUAUAUGUGAGCAGUGCUUCUUAUAUUAACAGUAUGGGGAGAGAGAUAUUAGCAUAUGAAUAAGCAACGGCUAACUCCGUGCCAGCAGCCGCGGUAAACUCG
This 508-nucleotide ribosomal RNA is filed under the name uncultured bacterium. RNAcentral describes it as "bacterial SSU rRNA". It matches the Rfam family "Bacterial small subunit ribosomal RNA", at positions 28 to 527 of the family's 1533-position model. The record is from RNAcentral.